This 23-nucleotide non-coding RNA is filed under the name Cricetulus griseus (Chinese hamster). Lineage: Eukaryota; Metazoa; Chordata; Mammalia; Rodentia; Cricetidae. The record is from RNAcentral.
CAGCAAGACAAAGGAGGCCAUGA